CGGCUUGAGAAUGGCGUUUACCAGGCCAAAUAUCAGCGCGACGAUGAUCAGCGUGAGCGCCUUCCGGCCGGACGAGCUGCCGGUUACGUCGAUGCCGGGGACCACCAGCGUAGUGAUCCACAACGCCACCGCGUUGAUCGCCCAUCGGACCAGAAAGCCCACCGUUCCAUCCUGGCACG
This 179-nucleotide unclassified non-coding RNA is filed under the name plant metagenome. RNAcentral describes it as "partial contains 5.8S ribosomal RNA, internal transcribed spacer 2, and large subunit ribosomal RNA". The record is from RNAcentral.